AGUGAACGCUGGCGGUAGGCCUAACACAUGCAAGUCGAACGGCAGCACAGAGGAGCUUGCUCCUUGGGUGGCGAGUGGCGGACGGGUGAGGAAUACAUCGGAAUCUACUCUGUCGUGGGGGUGAACGUAGGGAAACUUACGCUAAUACCGCAUACGACCUACGGGUGAAAGCAGGGGACCUUCGGGCCUUGCGCGAUUGAAUGAGCCGAUGUCGGAUUAGCUAGUUGGCGGGGUAGAGGCCCACCAAGGCGACGAUCCGUAGCUGGUCUGAGGGGAUGAUCAGCCACACUGGAACUGAGACACGGUCCAGACUCCGACGGGAGGCAGCAGUGGGGAAUAUUGGACAAUGGGCGCAAGCCUGAUCCAGCCAUACCGCGUGGGUGAAGAAGGCCUUCGGGUUGUAAAGCCCUUUUGUUGGGAAAGAAAUCCAGCUGGCUAAUACCCGGUUGGGAUGACGGUACCCAAAGAAUAAGCACCGGCUAACUUCGUGCCAGCCGCCGCGGUAA
This 506-nucleotide ribosomal RNA is filed under the name uncultured bacterium. RNAcentral describes it as "partial 16S ribosomal RNA". It matches the Rfam family "Bacterial small subunit ribosomal RNA", at positions 29 to 523 of the family's 1533-position model. The record is from RNAcentral.